RNAcentral lists this ribosomal RNA (483 nucleotides) under uncultured bacterium. RNAcentral's name for it is "partial 16S ribosomal RNA". It matches the Rfam family "Bacterial small subunit ribosomal RNA", at positions 28 to 507 of the family's 1533-position model. The record is from RNAcentral.
GACGAACGCUGGCGGCGUGCUUAACACAUGCCAGUCGAACGCUGAAGCUCAGCUUUUGUUGGGUGGAUGAGUGGCGAACGGGUGAGUAACACGUGAGUAACCUGCCCCCUUCUUUGGGGUAACGCCCGGAAACGGGUGCUAAUACUGGAUAUUCACUGGUCUUCGCAUGGGGGUUGGUGGAAAGGGUUUUUCUGGUGGGGGAUGGGCUCGCGGCCUAUCAGCUUGUUGGUGGGGUGAUGGCCUACCAAGGCUUUGACGGGUAGCCGGCCUGAGAGGGUGACCGGUCACAUUGGGACUGAGAUACGGCCCAGACUCCUACGGGAGGCAGCAGUGGGGAAUAUUGCACAAUGGGCGCAAGCCUGAUGCAGCGACGCCGCGUGAGGGAUGGAGGCCUUCGGGUUGUGAACCUCUUUCGCUCAUGGUCAAGCCGCAACAAUGGUUGUGGUGAGGGUAGUGGGUAAAGAAGCGCCGGCUAACUACGUG